UUGGUGACCAGCGGAGGGAUCAUUACCGAGUUUACAACUCCCAAACCCCAAUGUGAACGUUACCAAUCUGUUGCCUCGGCGGGAUUCUCUGCCCCGGGCGCGUCGCAGCCCCGGAUCCCAUGGCGCCCGCCGGAGGACCAACUCAAACUCUUUUUUCUCUCCGUCGCGGCUUCCGUCGCGGCUCUGUUUUACCUUUGCUCUGAGCCUUUCUCGGCGACCCUAGCGGGCGUCUCGAAAAUGAAUCAAAACUUUCAACAACGGAUCUCUUGGUUCUGGCAUCGAUGAAGAACGCAGCGAAAUGCGAUAAGUAAUGUGAAUUGCAGAAUUCAGUGAAUCAUCGAAUCUUUGAACGCACAUUGCGCCCGCCAGUAUUCUGGCGGGCAUGCCUGUCCGAGCGUCAUUUCAACCCUCGAACCCCUCCGGGGGGUCGGCGUUGGGGAUCGGCCCCUCACCGGGCCGCCCCCGAAAUACAGUGGCGGUCUCGCCGCAGCCUCUCCUGCGCAGUAGUUUGCACACUCGCACCGGGAGCGCGGCGCGGCCACAGCCGUAAAACACCCCAAACUCUGAAAUGUUGACCUCGGAUCAGGUAGGAAUACCCGCUGAACUUAAGCAUAUCAA
RNAcentral lists this ribosomal RNA (618 nucleotides) under Trichoderma reesei. Its description in RNAcentral is "eukaryotic LSU rRNA". The stretch from base 247 to 400 matches the Rfam family "5.8S ribosomal RNA". The record is from RNAcentral. Lineage: Eukaryota; Fungi; Ascomycota; Sordariomycetes; Hypocreales; Hypocreaceae.